GGAAAAGCUGCUCUGCACAACUGCAUGCGAUGAGACAUUGUGCGGGGC
Molecule: non-coding RNA, 48 nt
Filed under: unclassified sequences
Description: uup RNA
Rfam family: uup RNA
Source: RNAcentral